Molecule: unclassified non-coding RNA, 222 nt
Filed under: Hevea brasiliensis (rubber tree)
Lineage: Eukaryota; Viridiplantae; Streptophyta; Magnoliopsida; Malpighiales; Euphorbiaceae
Source: RNAcentral
UUGAGAGGUGGAAAAAGGUCGACUUCGCACUCUUUUAACUCUCUUUCGGUCAAACGUAUCUAUAUAAACUAGUGAAGUGGAGGAGAAAGAGGAUGAGCUUUUCUUUUUAAUCGUCUCUUCACUCCUUUCGUCCUCCAACCUUCGUACUUAUUAAACCUAAAAUUACUGAACCCUGAUCAGAUGCCAAAUCAACAAGAUGAAAAUCCCAAGGAAGAAGAAAAG